GUCUUCUCCUGACUAAUAUCCAUCAGUCAGUGGUGCUAUUUCGCAAAACAGGUUAUCCAUCAUGAAUUCAUGAUAAUGUUCUUCAUGGAACAUGGAAAUGAAAGUUAAUCGACAUCAUUCCACGGCAAAAGUAUCUAUGACAAUUGGGAGCAUCAUUUCACAGGAAACAUGAAAGCCGAAGUUUAAUCAUCUUUUUCUUUAUUAUUUUAUUUUUCCAUUAUGUUUAUCGUAAACCUUGUUGGGAUAUGGAGUAAGGGUAGUUGAUAAUUUAAACAACUAUUUGCUUAUGAGAGUAAAUUUGUAUAGGUCAAAAUUCUCUUGUUCGGUGUGAAUUUGAAUAUGUAUUGUUUACAUUAAUUAUAUAAAUAGAGAACUUGAAUAUGUAUUCUACAGUAAAUACC
RNAcentral lists this long non-coding RNA (401 nucleotides) under Helianthus annuus (common sunflower). Its description in RNAcentral is "hypothetical non coding rna". Lineage: Eukaryota; Viridiplantae; Streptophyta; Magnoliopsida; Asterales; Asteraceae. The record is from RNAcentral.